This is a non-coding RNA of Labrus bergylta (ballan wrasse), 290 nucleotides long. Lineage: Eukaryota; Metazoa; Chordata; Actinopteri; Labriformes; Labridae. The record is from RefSeq and is a predicted model, not a curated record.
GGACACUUUGGAGAACGACAGGGAGAGGAAGAGAGAAACUGGAGAAACUUUCUGCGACACUUCCGGUUGAAGCUUCCGGUAAUCACGCCCAGGUGUGUUCAGGUGUUCUCAGGUGUGUAUAUCAUUGUUUCGAGCAGGUAAGCGGUGCGGACCGCGGGCAGCAUGUUGGAAGAAGAAGGAGCCGGGGAAGGAAACAUGAAGUCUAGAUACUCAGAACUCUGUUGACGUCUUCCAGGAGGAUCCCCGUCGGUGGCCGUCUUCCUGCUCAGGUAGGAGACUCAAAGCUUUCU